GCGUCCAUGGUGUAGUGGUUGAGCAUGUCUCUUUCCCACUUUUCUAGCCGGAUUGAAGAGGAGGUCGCGGGUUCGAACCCCGCUGGUCGCA
This 91-nucleotide transfer RNA is filed under the name Sporisorium reilianum SRZ2. RNAcentral's name for it is "tRNA-Gly for anticodon CCC". It matches the Rfam family "tRNA". Rfam says of the family: Transfer RNA (tRNA) molecules are approximately 80 nucleotides in length. Their secondary structure includes four short double-helical elements and three loops (D, anti-codon, and T loops). Further hydrogen bonds mediate the characteristic L-shaped molecular structure. tRNAs have two regions of fundamental functional importance: the anti-codon, which is responsible for specific mRNA codon recognition, and the 3' end, to which the tRNAs corresponding amino acid is attached (by aminoacyl-tRNA synthetases). tRNAs cope with the degeneracy of the genetic code in two manners: having more than one tRNA (with a specific anti-codon) for a particular amino acid; and 'wobble' base-pairing, i.e. permitting non-standard base-pairing at the 3rd anti-codon position. The record is from RNAcentral. Lineage: Eukaryota; Fungi; Basidiomycota; Ustilaginomycetes; Ustilaginales; Ustilaginaceae.